AUGCUCUUCCUUCUCCUCCUCCAGCUCCUUGCCAUCACCACCCUCCCUUUCUCUGCCAACAACGCCACCCAACUAGUCUAUGACACGGAGGGCAAUGUGCUAAGUAGCAAGCAAAAUUACUACAUCCUCCCUGCUAAACGUGCGACCGGCGGGGGCCUCAGAGCUUUGCCUACUGGCCUGCGGUGUCUGCACUUCGUGUUCCAGGAGCGCAACGAGGCUGUCUUCGGCACCGCCUAG
RNAcentral lists this ribosomal RNA (237 nucleotides) under Triticum aestivum (bread wheat). Its description in RNAcentral is "partial small subunit ribosomal RNA". The record is from RNAcentral. Lineage: Eukaryota; Viridiplantae; Streptophyta; Magnoliopsida; Poales; Poaceae.